CUCCAACCCCCUGUGACAUACCACUUGUUGCCUCGGCGGAUCAGCCCGCUCCCGGUAAAACGGGACGGCCCGCCAGAGGACCCCUAAACUCUGUUUCUAUAUGUAACUUCUGAGUAAAACCAUAAAUAAAUCAAAACUUUCAACAACGGAUCUCUUGGUUCUGGCAUCGAUGAAGAACGCAGCAAAAUGCGAUAAGUAAUGUGAAUUGCAGAAUUCAGUGAAUCAUCGAAUCUUUGAACGCACAUUGCGCCCGCCAGUAUUCUGGCGGGCAUGCCUGUUCGAGCGUCAUUUCAACCCUCAAGCACAGCUUGGUGUUGGGACUCGCGUUAAUUCGCGUUCCCCAAAUUGAUUGGCGGUCACGUCGAGCUUCCAUAGCGUAGUAGUAAAACCCUCGUUACUGGUAAUCGUCGCGGCCACGCCGUUAAACCCCAACUUCUGAAUGUUGACCUCGGAUCAGGUAGGAAUACCCGCUGAACUUAAGCAUAUCAAUAAGCGGAGGAAAAGAAACCAACAGGGAUUGCCCUAGUAACGGCGAGUGAAGCGGCAACAGCUCAAAUUUGAAAUCUGGCUCUCGGGCCCGAGUUGUAAUUUGUAGAGGAUACUUUUGAUGCGGUGCCUUCCGAGUUCCCUGGAACGGGACGCCAUAGAGGGUGAGAGCCCCGUCUGGUUGGAUGCCAAAUCUCUGUAAAGUUCCUUCAACGAGUCGAGUAGUUUGGGAAUGCUGCUCUAAAUGGGAGGUAUAUGUCUUCUAAAGCUAAAUACCGGCCAGAGACCGAUAGCGCACAAGUAGAGUGAUCGAAAGAUGAAAAGCACUUUGAAAAGAGAGUUAAAAAGUACGUGAAAUUGUUGAAAGGGAAGCGUUUAUGACCAGACUUGGGCUUGGUUAAUCAUCUGGGGUUCUCCCCAGUGCACUUUUCCAGUCCAGGCCAGCAUCAGUUUUCCCCGGGGG
This 949-nucleotide small RNA is filed under the name Fusarium oxysporum. Its description in RNAcentral is "eukaryotic LSU rRNA". The stretch from base 444 to 949 matches the Rfam family "Eukaryotic large subunit ribosomal RNA", at positions 1 to 518 of the family's 3401-position model. Lineage: Eukaryota; Fungi; Ascomycota; Sordariomycetes; Hypocreales; Nectriaceae. The record is from RNAcentral.